UACGUAGGUGGCAAGCGUUGUCCGGAAUUAUUGGGCGUAAAGCGCGCGCAGGCGGUCCUUUAAGUCUGAUGUGAAAGCCCACGGCUCAACCGUGGAGGGUCAUUGGAAACUGGGGGACUUGAGUGCAGAAGAGGAAAGCGGAAUUCCCGGUGUAGCGGUGAAAUGCGCAGAUAUCGGGAAGAACACCCGUGGCGAAGGCGGCUCUCUGGGACGGUACUGACGCUGAGACGCGAAAGCGUGGGGAGCGAACAGG
Molecule: ribosomal RNA, 253 nt
Filed under: uncultured bacterium
Lineage: Bacteria
Description: partial 16S ribosomal RNA
Rfam family: Bacterial small subunit ribosomal RNA
Source: RNAcentral